RNAcentral lists this long non-coding RNA (5819 nucleotides) under Sus scrofa (pig). RNAcentral describes it as "lncRNA (ENSSSCG00035014370.1)". Lineage: Eukaryota; Metazoa; Chordata; Mammalia; Artiodactyla; Suidae. The record is from RNAcentral.
GCAUCACUUCUAGAUUACCCCCCCUGCUUAAUCUGAACUUGAUGUUGGACUAACUAAAUUGUUGGGAGAUCAGUGGAGAUAGUAUCCAUUUUCCUCAUGGCUCUUUUUGGUGCCUGGAUCAGACUUUCUCUUGGACCAACAGACUCUUAACACCUCUUCUGGAAUUGAUUCCAACCGAUGAUGAGCUACAUCUGGCCUGUGAAAUGAAAAUAGCAAAACCUUUGAUUGAGUCCAAGUUAAGUGGAUCUACAUCAUCUGCUCAGUCAGCUUUUGCCAAGAUGAAUGAUGCUGUGUCAGUGUUCCAUAAUUUCAGAGGUGGAUUUCCCCUUUUUGAAAACACAGUGUUUUCCUUUGUAUAGGCAAUGAAAGGAAAAAAAAAACUGAAAAAACUGCCGUGUGUGAAAAUGCAUUUUGGCUCCUCGAUAUAUUUGGAAAUGAAACCCUAAAAUAAUCCUAUUUUAGCCUUUUUUUCUUUCUCUUGGAUCUCCGCCAGCCUGGCCCUUAUCAGGUUGCACAAGGGGGCACUGUAGCUGUGAAGGUUCUGGGGAAGUGAUUCAUUUCCUUGCUUCCUAGUAUCAGAAGAGUCUAAAUAGGAGAAGAAUGUGAUGGAAAAGGAGAGAGCCGAUACCUUUCAAAGGCUGUGAGUGUUUCCCAGUUGUUAACUCCCAGCUCAGAUUCAAAAGUAUUUACUCCAAGAAGAACACAAAUGGUGGCAAUGAGCAAAGGGAGAAGGGCAAGAAACUUGUAGUUUAUUUUACAGGUUUGUCCAGUUUCCCCCAUAGAAGAGCAACAAGCACAGAAAGGGCAAUGAACUGAAAAUGGAUAUUUUUGAAACUUGGGAAACCACCCAGCUUUGGGACUAGUGGCCAUGUAGGAGACUACAGUUCAAAUCACAGUGACUAAAGGCCAUUCUGAGCCCAGCAGAUCUCCAUGGGGAGAGAGGGAGGCUGGGAAUUUUGGUGUUAUGAUUGCUGAAGCAUCGCAGUAAGAUCGUUUCAGAUAAUUUAAUAAUAGCAUGUGUUGUAAUGUUGUAAUUAGUGGUAUAACCCCUCUCCCACAGGUCCUGCCAAUCUAUGACACAAAUGAUGUUAUAUUUACAUUACUUUCCAAGUUCUAUCUGCAUGUUGAUCCCAUCAGACUAACUUUAGGUGUCCAUCUCUGUAGAGAUUUUCUAAGUUACUUAGGAGAUAUCGGGGUUCCACAUUAAUUUCCAUCGCCAAAGCAUGAUCUAGGUUUUUACUUCCUGGUUCUGUGUCCUUGUAUAGUUCUUUAAGAGCCUCUAAUGACAUUUUUCUCUUCUUUCUUCUUCAAUUAACUUUAUCCUUAACCAGACAGAAUACAAGAGAUUCUUCAGUUGUCUUGUAAAGACUGAACUGUCACAGUAACAUUUAACUCUAAAUAGCUCCUUCUGUCACUCGCAUUAAUUUAGCUAUGUUCACUGUAUCCAUUUUCUUAACCCCUCUCUGUACUGCAAUAAAUUAUCUAACAACAAAUAAAUAAAAAUAGACCUGAGAAGUCUAAUGAGUUUGAAAGGAAACCAGUUAAUGAGCUGCAGGCUGAGGUUAAUCAGAGCUUGGAAAAUUAAAAAAUUACUUUAAAAUAUAUACAUAUAAUGUAUAUAAACUAUAUGUAUAUAUUAUAACAUAUACAUUAUAUGUAUAUAAACUAUAACAUACUCCUAAAUUUACAUAGGUUAAUCAGAGCUUGGAAAAUUAAAAAAUUACUUUAAAAUAUAUACAUAUAAUGUAUAUAAACUAUAUGUAUAUAUUAUAACAUAUACAUUAUAUGUAUAUAAACUAUAACAUACUCCUAAAUUUACAUACACAUUGUAAAAAUUACUUUUUAAAGUAAUGAUUAAGUUGAAGAAAUGCAGAAUCAUCACUGGGAUCAAUAAAAAGCAGAAUUGCCAAUGUAGAUAAUAGAGCAGGGGAAUCUGGAGGAUAAACUUGAAAUGCUUUCUCAGAACUCAGAGAAAAAGUCCCUCCCCCCCAAAAAAAUAAUGGGACAGUUUUUAAAGAUAUAGCCUGGAGAUUCAAUACACAAACAAGGUUUCUAAAGAAAAAUUAUGAACUAAAUCUCAGUAAUUAUGGCGUAAUACCGAGAGUUUCCUGAACUAAAGGAAGACAAGAAUGUGCACAUUGAAAAUCCCCAUCAUGAAACAGGUAAAUUUGUUUUUGUUUUUGUUUUUGUUUUUUUAGGGCCACACCCGCAGCAUAUGGAGGUUCCCAGGCUAGGCAUUGAAUCGGAGCUACAGCUGCCGGCCUACACCACAGCCACAGCAACACAGGAUCUAAGCUGUGUCUGCGACCUACACCACAGCUCACAGCAAUGCCAGAUCCUUAACCCCCUGAGCAAGCCCAGGGAAACCCUCAACCUCAUGGUUCCUAGUCAGAUUCUUUUCUGCUGCACCAUGACAGGAACUCCUAAACAGAUAAAUUUAAUGAGAAGUGGUAUGUACCAAAAUGUUUCCUACUGAAAUUUUUGGACUGCAGAGAAAGUGAAAAUAUUCUUUAAAGACUCAUGCAGUAAUAAUAGUUUAUCUCUAAAACCAUUAAAUCAGAUUGCCCUCAAACCUCACCUGCAAUAUAUAUGUAGGAAGAAAAUCAAUAGAUAUUUAUAGAGUGUUGAAAGGGAAAAGCUAACUCUAUAAAUUACAUGAACACAAGUAGCAGCAAAGGCUUUAUCAGGCAGACAUGAAUUCAGAAAACAAACACCCCCUUAUAUAAGCUUCUUAAAAAUAUUAUGUGUAGUUACCCUCUAACUUACCCAAAUGUAAAUAAAAAUUAAAUAAUAAAAGUAGGGAGAUGCAAAUAAAAAGACCUCAGAAUUGAAUAUUAAAAAUGUUAAAAUAAUUAACUGUUGUAUAAAUAAUUGUUGUAAAUGUAAUUUAAAACUUCAAAAGUUAAACACAUGCUUAAAAGAUACAGGAGUUCCUGUCAUGGUUCAGCAGAAAUGAAUCUGACUAGUAUACAUGAGGAUACAGGUUCAAUCCCUGGCCUUGCUCAGUGGGUUAAGGAUCCAGCGUUGCUGUGAGCUGUGGUGUAGGUAGCAGAUGUGGCUUGGAUCUGGCUUUGCUGUGGCUAUGAAGUAGGCCGGCAGGUGUAGCUCCGAUUGGACCCCUAGAUGACUUGAAAAAAAAAUGAAUAUUUUCUAGUUUUAAAAAGUCUUAGAAUUAUCUAUCAGAUACUGGAAGUGGAUAGAGAAAUGGUUGAAUGAGUUGAAGGGAAGGGUGUUCUCUUUACACUGACAUUGAUUUUUUUUAAAUAUAAAUGAAUUUUUAAAUAUCAAAAGGUAAUGUAACUUAUUUGAAAACAGGACUUAUUUUGUAUAAAUCACAAGAACAAAGUCAAGAUGAAAGCAAAGAAAAUGUAACCAAAUCAAACCGAAAUGUCUAGAAAAAUUAACUUAGUAAAAGAAACUUGGAGAAGUAACGCAAGGUGAGCACAAUUCCUUCCUUGAAAAAAAUUGAUGUCAAAAACAGUAUGACAAAAGUAAAACUAAAGAUACUUACUAUUAUAAAAAAAUACAAAUAGGCUAGACUCCCUUUUUAAAAUAGAAAGUUUAUAGAUUGAAUAAAGCUAUAUUAGUGUUUAAAAAGACAAACUUUAAAUUUAGACAGUUUAUUUGUGCAUCAAGAUCUUCUCUGUCAAGUGAGAAUUAAGAAGUAAAUCAUGGGAUUAGUUUCUGGAGCAUAGCCAGUGCUCAGUAAAGAUUAUCUAGUAUUUUUAUUAAGGAUUAUUACAAUUAUUAUGUAUCUUUUAUAAGAGAAUCACGUGAAGUGAGAGUAAAACUAUUUAAAUUGUCUACUUAAUAUAUCAGGCAGUGAAACAUACAAACAAGUAAUGGUAUCUGGGAAAACCAAAAUAAAGUGACAAUGAGAUACCACUAAACACCUUUCUGAAGGGCCAAAUUGAGAACACUGACACCACCAAACGCUGAUGAGGAUGUGGAACAACAGGAACUCUCAUGCACUUCUGGUGAGGAUGCAGAAUGGUGCAGCCACUUUGGAACACAGUUUAGCAGUUUCUUACAAAACUCAACAGCUCUUACCAUAUGAUCCAUAAAUGAUGCUCCAUGGUGUUUUCCCAAAAAGGUUGAAAAUUUUGUGUCCACACAAAAACCUGCACAAGGAUGUUUGUAGUAGCUUUAUUCGUAAGUGUCAAAAUUUGGAAGCAAUGAAGAUGUCCUUCAGUAGGUGCAUGGAUAAUUUUCUGUCAGACAACAGAAAAUUAUUCGGCAUUAAAAUGAGCUUUGAAGCUAUGAAAACACAUUGAGGGAAUUCCCAUUGUGGCGCAGUGGAAACUAAUCCGACUAGGAACCAUGAGGUUGAGGGUUCAAUCCCUGGCCUCGCUCAGUGAGUUAAGGAUCUGGCAUUGCUGUGAGCUGUAGUGUAGGUUGCAGAUGCAGCUUGGAUCCUGUGUUGCUGUGGCUGUGGUGUAGGCUGGCAGCUACAGCUCCAAUUAGACCCCUAGCCUGAGAACCUUCAUAUGCCAUGUGUGCGGCCCUAAAAAGCAAAAAAAAAAAAAAAAAAAAAAAAAAAGAGAGAGAGAAAGAAAACACAUUGAGGAACCUUAAAUGCAUAUUUCUAAGUGAAAAAAGCCGGACAUAACAGGCGCCAUGGUUCCAGCUGUGUGACAUUACAGGAAAGGCAAAACUAAGGAAGGAGACAGUUUAAAAAGAUCAAUCGAAGCUGGAGGUAGGGGGAUGAAGAUGCAGAAUACAGGAUAUUUAGUGCAUAAAUUCUGUAUGAUACUGUAAUGGAAGAUAUAUGUCAUCAUACAUCUGUCCAAACCCAUAGACUAUACAACACCAAGAAUGAACCCUAAUGUAAACUGUGUACUUUAGGUGAUUAUGAUGUGAAGGUUCAUCCAUGGUAAAAAAUUAAUUAAUUUAAAAAUGUUCCAUUGAGGGGAACGAUGUUGAGUAUGGGGAAGGCUAUGCAUAUGUGGGGCAGGGGUAUAGAUCAUUUCUGAACCUUCCCUGAAUUCCAUCAUAAACCUAAAACUGUUCUAAAAAUUAAAUCAUAAAAAUAAUUUAAGAGCAAUGGCAGAAGUAUUUUAAUUAAGAGAACUAGAAUGGUCUGGUACAGUGGUUAUCAACGUUACUCUUUGGGGCCCUUGGGGUUUCGCAGGCCCAUUAUGAGACAAUUAUGGACUUGAAAGGCAAAAAGAUAUAGAAGUUAAAGACAGAGCCCAGCAUAUUGUAGGUGAGCAAUACAUGCAAGCAGCAAUAAUCCAACAACAAAACCAAACAAAAGCACAUCAUUGACAUAAGGUUUGAAAAAUUGUCAAAGUUAAUCUUUUUGAGCAUCAAUUUUUUGUGUGUACAAAGUGGGCAGAUACAACCUGGUGUUAUUGUGUCCAUUUUCUCAUACACUGAAUUUAAACUACAGGAUGUAGCACUGACAUCCAGCAACUACUGGUUUCUUCUCUGUCCCCCCCCCAUACCAAAAAUUAAAUGGUUCACUUCAAAGAGUGACCAGAUGAUAUGCUUUGAAUUCUCCUUCCUCAACCUGUCAUCAUAAGCAUCAUUCCUGUAAAUUCAAGAAACAGUAUAUUUUCCUUUUUGCCUAAACUAUAAGAAAAAUGUCUGACAAAACUAAAUUACAAAAGCACAUCAAUGCCAAGCACAAACAGCUGUUAGAUCAUCCACAGUGUGUGAUGGUCUGCACCAUCCUUCGGCUCAGAGGACUGGGAAUUGCCUCUUUUCAUAUUGUUACCGAAUGCAUACAAAUUCCCUUUAGUUUUAAUGUUCUGUGCCAGUUAAGUGUCUGGAUACUCUUUUUUUCCGGAAGAAAAAAUAUACUAAAAAAAAAAAAA